CAAUAGCGUAUAUUAAAGUUGUUGCAGUUAAAAAGCUCGUAGUUGGAUUUCUGGUCGGAAGCUCCUGUCCUCUGAUGAGCGUACAAGUGCGUCCUACCAUCCUUCUGUUAACCUUUAAGGCUUUCGCGGCUUUCUAGGGGCUCAGAUAUUUUACCUUGAGAAAAUUAGAGUGUUUCAGGCAGGCUAGCGCCGGAGUACAUUAGCAUGGAAUAAUGGAAUAGGACUUUUGCCUCUUCUGUUGGUCAUGAGGCUCGAGUAAUGAUUAAUAGGGAUAGUUGGGGGCAUUAGUACUUAACUGUCAGAGGUGAAAUUCUCGGAUUUGUUAAAGACUAACUUAUGCGAAAGCAUUUGCCAAGGAUGUUUUCAUUA
This 369-nucleotide ribosomal RNA is filed under the name uncultured eukaryote. RNAcentral's name for it is "partial 18S ribosomal RNA". It matches the Rfam family "Eukaryotic small subunit ribosomal RNA", at positions 592 to 975 of the family's 1831-position model. The record is from RNAcentral.